GGCCACAGCCAUAUCAACCUGCAGCCCAAGACCGGUUACUCACUGAAGCUAAGCAGGGCUGAGCCUGGUCAGUACUUGAAUGGGAGACCACUAGGGAACACUAGGUUGCUGUUGGAA
RNAcentral lists this ribosomal RNA (117 nucleotides) under Danio rerio (zebrafish). The record is from RNAcentral. Lineage: Eukaryota; Metazoa; Chordata; Actinopteri; Cypriniformes; Danionidae.